RNAcentral lists this ribosomal RNA (300 nucleotides) under uncultured Tenacibaculum sp. RNAcentral's name for it is "bacterial SSU rRNA". It matches the Rfam family "Bacterial small subunit ribosomal RNA", at positions 114 to 414 of the family's 1533-position model. The record is from RNAcentral. Lineage: Bacteria; Pseudomonadati; Bacteroidota; Flavobacteriia; Flavobacteriales; Flavobacteriaceae.
CGCGUAUAGAAUCUACCUUUUACUAAGGGAUAGCCUUUAGAAAUGAAGAUUAAUACCUUAUGGUAUUGUUAUUUCGCAUGAUUUAACAAUUAAAGAUUUAUUGGUAAAAGAUGACUAUGCGUCCUAUUAGCUAGAUGGUAAGGUAACGGCUUACCAUGGCAACGAUAGGUAGGGGUCCUGAGAGGGAGAUCCCCCACACCGGUACUGAGACACGGACCAGACUCCUACGGGAGGCAGCAGUGAGGAAUAUUGGGCAAUGGAGGCAACUCUGACCCAGCCAUGCCGCGUGCAGGAAGACUG